ACGGCCAGAGCUACACAGAGGAACCCUGUUUCAAACAAAAAUAAAACAAAUACAAAGACCUGAUACCAUUUGUCUUAGUCAGGGUUUCUAUUCCUAGACAAAACAUCAUGACCAAGAAGCAAGUUGGGGAGGAAAGGGUUUAUUCAGCUUACACUUCCAUACUGCUGUUCAUCACCAAGGGAUGUCAGGACUGGAAUUCAAGCAGGUCAGAAAGCAGGAGCUGAUGCAGAGGCCAUGGAGGGAUGUUCUUUACUGGCCUGCUUCCCCUGGCUUGCUCAGCCUGCUCUCUUAUAGAACCCAGGACUACCAGCCCAGGAAUGGUCCCACCCACAAGGGGCCUUUCCCCCUUGAUCACUAAUUGAGAAAAUGCCUUACAGCUGGAUCUCGUGGAGGCACUUCCCCAACUG
This 407-nucleotide long non-coding RNA is filed under the name Mus musculus (house mouse). RNAcentral's name for it is "long non-coding RNA chr1:155977833-155978240". The record is from RNAcentral. Lineage: Eukaryota; Metazoa; Chordata; Mammalia; Rodentia; Muridae.